Long non-coding RNA from Canis lupus familiaris (dog), 1108 nucleotides. RefSeq lists it as uncharacterized. Lineage: Eukaryota; Metazoa; Chordata; Mammalia; Carnivora; Canidae. The record is from RefSeq and is a predicted model, not a curated record. The transcript is spliced from 3 exons.
AUGCUGGGAACAGUGUCAGAGAGAGGGAUGCUGGGAACAGCCUCGGGAGAGGGAUGCUGGGAACACCCCAGGGUGAGGGAUGCUGGGAACAGCGUCAGAGAGAGGGAUGCUGGGAACAGCCCGGAGAGAGCUGCUCCGCUCAGGGAACCACGACCUGUCACUCCCUGUCCACCGAGGCCUGAUUCAGAAUUUUCCGUGUGAAAAGGGACGAUCCCGAGAUGUUACAGAGCUGGACGCUACAGACAACAACUGUUAUUAAUUAUUGGAGAAGUUUAGGUCUGAUGGAUUUUUAAUCUCAUUCAAAGUCUACACCGUCUGUGGAGAGCGGGUGAAAUGCUUUGUUGUUCCAUCCAAAUCCCCGACGGCCGCUGUCGAACCUCCAGCGCACGGCCCAAACCGGCGUCACCUCUGCAGUUAACUGAGCAAAUAUUACAGGAUCCAUUUGCACAGGGAUGCGCUCCGGCAGGUCCAGCCCGCUCGCCGCGUGUUUGCUCAUCCCGGGGGAGCCCAUCCGGCACUUUGAAUGCUUCCCCCACACAACACCUCUAACCGAGCAGGAGCAAUCUGAUCCCCCAGCUGGAGUGAUGGACUCCAGCAUCCCAGAGGAAUGGAGACUGGGCCAACCCGAGGCAGGAAGACCUGCUUACCAGCCAUCCCCAGGACCUGUGACCUGCUACCUGUGACCUGCCACCUGUGACCUGCCACCUGCGACCUGCGGGAGACUGGCCAGCCGCUCCAUCCAGAGUCCUGCAAGAUUGCUUAGCAGUGCCCAGCUGGGCAGUGUGGCCGUAUGCCCGCAGACCAUGAUUUCUUUGGCCUUUGGGCUCAGCUAAAAUGCAGUCCUCUGACAGCUCUUCCCUGCUUUCGGAAACUGUUCUCACCUCGAGCCCUUGCUUUUUGGUCUGAAACCACAGGCACCUUGAGAGUAGACAAAGAAGCCAGGCCCAUUCCGAUGACCCUGGCCCUCCCUCGCCCCCGAGAGAACUGUUUCCACAGGACCUUCCUGCCGGCCCUCUGAAGAUGGAUUGGGGGCAGCAUGGCUACAAAGGAGAAACAUUCAGUCCCGAGGAUGCCAUUUUGAAGUCUGUUAAAAAUAAAUGCCGAGGCU